UGCCUUCGGGAACUGUGAGACAGGUGCUGCAUGGCUGUCGUCAGCUCGUGUUGUGAAAUGUUGGGUUAAGUCCCGCAACGAGCGCAACCCUUAUCCUUUGUUGCCAGCGGUUAGGCCGGGAACUCAAAGGAGACUGCCAGUGAUAAACUGGAGGAAGGUGGGGAUGACGUCAAGUCAUCAUGGCCCUUACGACCAGGGCUACACACGUGCUACAAUGGCGCAUA
RNAcentral lists this ribosomal RNA (224 nucleotides) under Salmonella enterica. Its description in RNAcentral is "partial 16S ribosomal RNA". It matches the Rfam family "Bacterial small subunit ribosomal RNA", at positions 1014 to 1239 of the family's 1533-position model. The record is from RNAcentral. Lineage: Bacteria; Pseudomonadati; Pseudomonadota; Gammaproteobacteria; Enterobacterales; Enterobacteriaceae.